GAUGAACGCUGGCGGCGUGCUUAACACAUGCCAGUCGAACGGAAAGGCCCAAGCUUGCUUGGGUACUCGAGUGGCGAACGGGUGAGUAACACGUGGGUGAUCUGCCCUGCACUUCGGGAUAAGCCUGGGAAACUGGGUCUAAUACCGGAUAGGACCACUUCUUGGAUGUUGUGGUGGAAAGUUUUUUCGGUGUGGGAUGAGCUCGCGGCCUAUCAGCUUGUUGGUGGGGUAAUGGCCUACCAAGGCGUCGACGGGUAGCCGGCCUGAGAGGGUGUACGGCCACAUUGGGACUGAGAUACGGCCCAGACUCCUACGGGAGGCAGCAGUGGGGAAUAUUGCACAAGGGGCGCAAGCCUGAUGCAGCGACGCCGCGUGGGGGAUGACGGCCUUCGGGUUGUAAACUCCUUUCGCUAGGGACGAAGCGUUUUGUGACGGUACCUGGAGAAGAAGCACCGGCUAACUACGUG
RNAcentral lists this ribosomal RNA (467 nucleotides) under uncultured bacterium. RNAcentral's name for it is "partial 16S ribosomal RNA". It matches the Rfam family "Bacterial small subunit ribosomal RNA", at positions 28 to 507 of the family's 1533-position model. The record is from RNAcentral.